AGUCACUGACAUUAGAUACCCGGGUAGUCCCAGCCGUAAACAAUGUGCGUUAGGUGUGUCGGUAACCACGUGUUACUGAUGCGCCGAAGAGAAAUCGUGAAACGCACCACCUGGGAAGUACGGUCGCAAGGCUGAAACUUAAAGGAAUCGGCGGGGGAGCACCACAACAGGUGGAGCCUGCGGUUUAAUUGGAUUCAACGCCGGACAUCUCACCGGAUAAGACAGCUGAAUGAUUGUCAAUCUGAAGGUUUUACAUGACUAGCUG
RNAcentral lists this ribosomal RNA (265 nucleotides) under uncultured archaeon. RNAcentral describes it as "partial 16S ribosomal RNA". It matches the Rfam family "Archaeal small subunit ribosomal RNA", at positions 719 to 982 of the family's 1478-position model. The record is from RNAcentral.